GGCGCAGGUCACGAGGCAGGAGACGGAGGGCGCUUCUCCGUGUUCGGGACGUGCUUUCGGAUACCCGCUCUUGAGCAAGCGCCGCGAGGUCUGCCGCCGGGAGCGGAGACACAGAGCCAAAAACAAUCCAUUGAUACACUUGGUGACAUUAAUUGAGAAAAAAACAAUAUGGUCUGGCCAUGGAGGCAUGGUAUCCGUAACAUCCCCCAAAGGAGCUAAAGAAGAAAUCCACAAUUUACCAUGAGCAUUUCUCGUCUGAAGAUUGCCAAGCGAUUCCUCCAGGACAUUCCUCAAGAUCAAUUUCUGUUCAUCCACCUUGUCCUGGGAGGGACAUCAAUGGGUUUCCAUGUCCUUUGGCUUCUGGUUGAGUUCACUCAGUGGAGAACCCUGGCAAGAGGCAGGAAAAGGGGAGGAAGGUGAAAACCAUCCAUUUCUUGGAGAAGUGCCACGGUGGGGUUGCAAGUCCCAGGAUCAAGUUUUCGAUGUGUCUCUUUUUCCCGUAAAGUGGCUGAAAUCUGAAGCUGAAUCUGCAAGUGUCAUGGAGUCAUUGAAUCUCACAGUCUCAACUGAUAAAAGUUAUUAAAGGUCGUCUGGUUCAGCCUUCUA
Homo sapiens (human) is the source of this 606-nucleotide long non-coding RNA. Ensembl annotates it as SOX9 antisense RNA 1. Its record names the gene SOX9-AS1. NCBI's taxonomy places the organism in Eukaryota, Metazoa, Chordata, Mammalia, Primates, Hominidae. The record is from Ensembl.